UGGGGAAUAUUGGACAAUGGGGGCAACCCUGAUCCAGCAAUGCCGCGUGAGUGAAGAAGGCCUUAGGGUUGUAAAGCUCUUUCACCGGGGAAGAUGAUGACGGUACCCGGAGAAGAAGCCCCGGCUAACUCCGUGCCAGCAGCCGCGGUAAGACGGAGGGGGCUAGCGUUGUUCGGAAUUACUGGGCGUAAAGCGCGCGUAGGCGGUUUGGUGAGUUGGAGGUGAAAGCCCGGAGCUUAACUUCGGAAUUGCCUUCAAGACUGCCGGACUUGAGGCAGGGAGAGGAGAGUGGAAUACCCAGUGUAGAGGUGAAAUUCGUAGAUAUUGGGUGGAACACCGGUGGCGAAGGCGGCUCUCUGGCCCUGACCUGACGCUAAGGUGCGAAAGCGUGGGGAGCAAACAGGAUUAGAUACCCCCGUAGUCC
Molecule: ribosomal RNA, 424 nt
Filed under: uncultured prokaryote
Description: bacterial SSU rRNA
Rfam family: Bacterial small subunit ribosomal RNA
Source: RNAcentral